This is a non-coding RNA of Anaeromyces robustus, 46 nucleotides long. Lineage: Eukaryota; Fungi; Neocallimastigomycota; Neocallimastigomycetes; Neocallimastigales; Neocallimastigaceae. The record is from Rfam.
AAACCGGUUUUUAUGAAAACCAUUAAAACAAUAUUAUCAUUUUUAU